Molecule: ribosomal RNA, 250 nt
Filed under: uncultured archaeon
Lineage: Archaea
Description: partial 16S ribosomal RNA
Rfam family: Bacterial small subunit ribosomal RNA
Source: RNAcentral
UACGUAGGGGGCAAGCGUUGUCCGGAUUCAUUGGGCGUAAAGAGCUCGUAGGCGGUUCAGUAAGUCAGGUGUGAAAGCUCCGAGCUCAACUCGGAGAGGCCACCUGAUACUGCUGUGACUUGAGUCCAGUAGAGGAGCGUGGAACUCCUGGUGUAGCGGUGGAAUGCGCAGAUAUCAGGAAGAACACCUGCAGCGAAGGCGGCGCUCUGGGCUGGAACUGACGCUGAGGAGCGAAAGCAUGGGUAGCAAA